Daphnia pulicaria is the source of this 251-nucleotide long non-coding RNA. RefSeq lists it as uncharacterized. The record is from RefSeq and is a predicted model, not a curated record. The transcript is spliced from 2 exons. NCBI's taxonomy places the organism in Eukaryota, Metazoa, Arthropoda, Branchiopoda, Diplostraca, Daphniidae.
GUUGCAGACGAAAGUUGUUUUCCUUCUGUCUUGGUAAAAUUCUUUGCUGGCGUUUAAAAGUUCUAGAGAAAUCAAUUGAAUGAUUGCAAUGGAAUAGAUGUAAGCAGAGUGUAGAGAACAAAACGUACACUAGAGGGCAGGACAAGCAAAACAGAAUCGGGAAAAUCGGAGGAAGGGUAGCAAGAAUUCUGGCGACAGUUGGCCAUGUUAAUUUUCUUAUGGACAGCAUCAACCAGUGGUCUUUGUCUAUG